Molecule: ribosomal RNA, 976 nt
Filed under: bacterium
Lineage: Bacteria
Description: bacterial SSU rRNA
Rfam family: Bacterial small subunit ribosomal RNA
Source: RNAcentral
UCGAACGGCAGCGGGGGCUUCGGCCUGCCGGCGAGUGGCGAACGGGUGAGUAAUGCAUCGGAACGUGCCCAGUCAUGGGGGAUAACUACGCGAAAGCGUAGCUAAUACCGCAUACGCCCUGAGGGGGAAAGUGGGGGAUCUUCGGACCUCACGUGAUUGGAGCGGCCGAUGUCAGAUUAGCUAGUUGGUGAGGUAAAGGCUCACCAAGGCGACGAUCUGUAGCGGGUCUGAGAGGAUGAUCCGCCACACUGGGACUGAGACACGGCCCAGACUCCUACGGGAGGCAGCAGUGGGGAAUUUUGGACAAUGGGCGCAAGCCUGAUCCAGCCAUGCCGCGUGAGUGAAGAAGGCCUUCGGGUUGUAAAGCUCUUUCGCAAGGGAAGAAAACGUGUGGGCUAAUAUCCUGCGCGGAUGACGGUACCUUGACAAGAAGCACCGGCUAACUACGUGCCAGCAGCCGCGGUAAUACGUAGGGUGCGAGCGUUAAUCGGAAUUACUGGGCGUAAAGCGUGCGCAGGCGGUUGUGUAAGACAGGUGUGAAAUCCCCGGGCUUAACCUGGGAACUGCGCUUGUGACUGCACGGCUAGAGUACGGCAGAGGGGGGUGGAAUUCCUGGUGUAGCAGUGAAAUGCGUAGAUAUCAGGAGGAACACCGAUGGCGAAGGCAGCCCCCUGGGCCUGUACUGACGCUCAUGCACGAAAGCGUGGGGAGCAAACAGGAUUAGAUACCCUGGUAGUCCACGCCCUAAACGAUGUCAACUAGUUGUUCGUAGAGGUAACUCUGUGAGUAACGCAGCUAACGCGUGAAGUUGACCGCCUGGGGAGUACGGCCGCAAGGUUAAAACUCAAAGGAAUUGACGGGGACCCGCACAAGCGGUGGAUGAUGUGGAUUAAUUCGAUGCAACGCGAAAAACCUUACCUACCCUUGACAUGUCCAGAGCCCUCGAGAGAUUGAGGGGUGCCUUCGGGAGCUGGAA